This 708-nucleotide ribosomal RNA is filed under the name Aerococcus sanguinicola. RNAcentral describes it as "bacterial SSU rRNA". It matches the Rfam family "Bacterial small subunit ribosomal RNA", at positions 77 to 769 of the family's 1533-position model. Lineage: Bacteria; Bacillati; Bacillota; Bacilli; Lactobacillales; Aerococcaceae. The record is from RNAcentral.
UGCUUGCACUUCUGACGUUAGCGGCGGACGGGUGAGUAACACGUAAGGAACCUACCUAUGAGCGGGGGACAACAUCCGGAAACGGGUGCUAAUACCGCAUAGUAAUUUGUCAGGCAUCUGACAAAUUGGAAAGACGGCUUUUGCUGUCACUCAUAGAUGGUCUUGCGGUGCAUUAGCUAGUUGGUGGGAUAAAAGCUUACCAAGGCCAUGAUGCAUAGCCGACCUGAGAGGGUAAUCGGCCACACUGGGACUGAGACACGGCCCAGACUCCUACGGGAGGCAGCAGUAGGGAAUCUUCCGCAAUGGGCGCAAGCCUGACGGAGCAAUGCCGCGUGAGUGAAGAAGGUUUUCGGAUCGUAAAACUCUGUUGUAAGAGAAGAACAAAUUGUAGAGUAACUGCUACAGUCUUGACGGUAUCUUACCAGAAAGCCACGGCUAACUACGUGCCAGCAGCCGCGGUAAUACGUAGGUGGCAAGCGUUGUCCGGAUUUAUUGGGCGUAAAGGGAGCGCAGGUGGUUUCUUAAGUCUGAUGUGAAAGCCCACGGCUUAACCGUGGAGGGUCAUUGGAAACUGGGAAACUUGAGUGCAGAAGAGGAAAGUGGAACUCCAUGUGUAGCGGUGGAAUGCGUAGAUAUAUGGAAGAACACCAGUGGCGAAGGCGACUUUCUGGUCUGUAACUGACACUGAGGCUCGAAAGCGUGGGUAGC